CAGUAUACACAACCAUGUCGGGGAAAUAACACACAGGAAAUUGCCUUCUGAACACUACAAAAAAAACCAAAUUUAGUUUUAAGCAUAAAGUGUUAAAUAACAUUUUUGAAAAAAACACUUACUUAAUAAACAAAACCCAACAAACAAAUGCUUGCAAGGACAUAAAACGAGAUUGGACAAAACACGUGGUUAACAAUAGACUUGCUGACUGAAUGAUAUUGAUAUUUUCUUCUGGCUCGAGAACGUAGACUUCAAAUUCCCUGUUAAACACUUAAACCGAAUGGCAAACAAGUUGAGUGGAGGAUCAACCGUAUCUUGCAGUGCAGUUCAGUUCUCAAUCAAUUAUCGACUGGACAAAUGAUGGCAAGCACUUGAAAGUUCAAAAAACAGAUGACACUUACAAAAAUACACUUGGCAAAAAAGAAAACUUGUCUAUGGUCUUCAUUUAAAAUCCGGGAUAUACCGGGAAUACACUUGAAAUUAGUCUUUCGACUUAAAAAUCAUAAUUUAAAUACAAAAUGGGAAGUAAAUUUCUAGCGCAACACAAACUAAUUGUGCAUACCCAGCUUAUUUCCAGAUACCCACUAUAAUAAUCACAACAACUAGCUGCAAUUAAGAGUAAGUCGCUGGUUUGCUGGAGCUUAAGAACGCCCCUUUGAGAUUU
This is a long non-coding RNA of Drosophila elegans, 664 nucleotides long. RefSeq lists it as uncharacterized. The transcript has 3 exons. Lineage: Eukaryota; Metazoa; Arthropoda; Insecta; Diptera; Drosophilidae. The record is from RefSeq and is a predicted model, not a curated record.